GAUGAACGCUAGCGAUAGGCUUAACACAUGCAAGUCGAGGGGCAGCGCGAGGUAGCAAUACUUUGGCGGCGACCGGCGCACGGGUGCGUAACACGUAUGUAACUUACCUCUUACAACCGGAUAACACGGUGAAAGUCGUGCUAAUAUGGUAUAGUUUCACAUUUUUGCAUGAGAAGGUGAAUAAAGAUUUAUCGGUAAGAGAUAGACAUGCGGUCCAUUAGAUAGUUGGUGAGGUAACGGCUCACCAAGUCGACGAUGGAUAGGGGGACUGAGAGGUUGACCCCCCACACUGGUACUGAGACACGGACCAGACUCCUACGGGAGGCAGCAGUGAGGAAUAUUGGUCAAUGGGCGAGAGCCUGAACCAGCCAAGUCGCGUGAAGGAAGACGGUUCAUAAGGAUUGUAAACUUCUUUUGUAGAGGGGUAAAGGUGCGUACGUGUACGCAUUUGCAAGUACUCUACGAAUAAGUAUCGGCUAACUCCGUGCCAUCAGCCGCGGUAAUACGGGGGAUACGAGCGUUAUCCGGAAUUAUUGGGUUUAAAGGGUGCGUAGGUGGCUAUUUAAGUCAGGGGUGAAAAGCAUGAGCUCAACUCAUGUCUUGCCUUUGAAACUGGACAGCUAGAGAAGAGACGAGGUAUGUGGAAUGUGUGGUGUAGCGGUGAAAUGCAUAGAUAUCACACAGAACUCCGAUUGCGCAGGCAGCGUACCAGACUUAUUCUGACACUGAAGCACGAAAGCGUGGGUAUCAAACAGGAUUAGAUACCCUGGUAGUCCACGCAGUAAACGAUGAAUACUAGUUUUUUGCGAUAUACGGUAAGAGACUAAGCGAAAGCGAUAAGUAUUCCACCUGGGGAGUACGCCGGCAACGGUGAAACUCAAAGGAAUUGACGGGGGCCCGCACAAGCGGAGGAACAUGUGGUUUAAUUCGAUGAUACGCGAGGAACCUUACCCGGGAUUGAAAUGUAGGAGUUAGAUGAUGAGAGUCAUUGUCCCUUCGGGGCUCCUAUGUAGGUGCUGCAUGGUUGUCGUCAGCUCGUGCCGUGAGGUGUUUGCUUAAGUGCAAUAACGAGCGCAACCCACGUUGAUAGUUACUAACAGGUUAAGCUGAGGACUCUAUCGAGACAGCCGUCGUAAGGCGAGAGGAAGGUGUGGAUGACGUCAAAUCAGCACGGCCCUUACAUCCGGGGCGACACACGUGUUACAAUGGUGAGGACAGCAGGAAGCGACAUGGUGACAUGAAGCAGAUCCCAAAACCUCACCCCAGUUCGGAUCGGAGUCUGCAACUCGACUCCGUGAAGCCGGAUUCGCUAGUAAUCGCGCAUCAGCCAUAGCGCGGUGAAUACGUUCCCGGGCCU
RNAcentral lists this ribosomal RNA (1357 nucleotides) under uncultured bacterium. RNAcentral's name for it is "bacterial SSU rRNA". It matches the Rfam family "Bacterial small subunit ribosomal RNA", at positions 28 to 1381 of the family's 1533-position model. The record is from RNAcentral.